UCCAGCUCCACUCACUCUCCCGGUCUGAGAAUUGAGAGGCUCAGAGAGACGGACUGUCCUACUGCACCACCAGAGACGGAGGAGAGAUCCCCAUCGGAAGAGGCACCAGACUGCUUACAGCUGUGUGGGGGUUUAGUUCAAACUGGGAAGAGAGCCAGACGGAUACCUCAAGGAGGAGAGAGCAGUGAUCCUGUGAGUCUGCUUGUGCUCUGUGUGGGACAUCCUGACGGUCGGUCAAGGGCAGAUGAAGGAGCAGGUGGGUGGAAGUUGGAGCUUGCUCUUGGAUGGGUCAUAUCUACACUUCAUUACACAAAGGCUGGUGGAGGUGGGGAACAAGCUGCCCGGCCAUGUUGUUGAACCCUGGCUUCUCUCAAGAUCCUCCAGGCUUGUAACUCCUAACUGCCAGAGGGGAAAGGAAGAAGAGCCCACCCUGAUGGGAGAUCGCAGCACGACCCACGAGAUUCCCUGGAAAACAGACGGAAGUUCGGACCAGAUCAGUGGAAAUCUGCAGGUGUUGCUUCAUGAAGGACAGUUUUGUACCAAAACAACUGAAAACCCAACGGAGAAUUAAAGAGGGCUCCCUUUCUGGGAUAUUCUCUGUACUUGUUAACCACUAAACCAGAUGGUCUCUCCAGUCUGUUUCCUGAAUAAUUGGUUAAUUUGCCUAUUUCCCAUGCUGGGAAUGCACUGGGAUGGUAGGUCACUAAACCAGUUUCUUUCCUAAAUAUCUUUUUGUGUCUUCACUGUCCUGGAUCUUCACUAAUCCAGGCAGUCUUUUUUCCUGAAUAUUAUGUUGGAUAUUCAGUUUACUGGAUAGUAAUUGUAAUGGUUAGUCACAACACAGUCUUUGUCCUGAAUACUCACUCUUAUUCACUGUAAUGGCCAGUCACUUACUGGUAUCUUGUUGUAAAAGAAUUACAAUUAUUCACUAACUGAUAUCCACUGUGAGUGGUACUGUGUGUUCAUUGUAACAGAUAAGCACUGUAAUUAUUCUCUGACUGAUAUACCCUGUACUGGGUAUUCACUGUCAUAGAUAACUUUCUGUGUUGGACAUUCACAGUAAUGGUUUCCAAGAUAUUCUCUAAAAUGGUA
Molecule: non-coding RNA, 1092 nt
Organism: Lepisosteus oculatus (spotted gar)
Lineage: Eukaryota; Metazoa; Chordata; Actinopteri; Semionotiformes; Lepisosteidae
Source: RefSeq, a predicted model, not a curated record